ACGAUUUUUCGGUCUAUGGCCCC
RNAcentral lists this small nuclear RNA (23 nucleotides) under Arabidopsis thaliana (thale cress). RNAcentral's name for it is "snRNA_01927". Lineage: Eukaryota; Viridiplantae; Streptophyta; Magnoliopsida; Brassicales; Brassicaceae. The record is from RNAcentral.